GUGCCAGCAGCCGCGGUAAAACGUAGGAGACAAACGUUAUCCGGAGUUACUGGGCGUAAAGGGCGUGUAGGUGGUAGAGUAAGUCUGGCGUGAAAUUUUUCGGCUUAACCGGGAAAGGUCGUCGGAUACUGCUUAACUAGAGGACGGUAGAGGCGUGUGGAAUUCCGGGUGUAGUGGUGAAAUGCGUAGAGAUCCGGAGGAACACCAGUGGCGAAGGCGACACGCUGGGCCGUACCUGACACUGAUGCGCGACAGCAUGGGGAGCAAACAGGAUUAGAAACCCUGGUAGUCC
Molecule: ribosomal RNA, 292 nt
Filed under: uncultured bacterium
Lineage: Bacteria
Description: partial 16S ribosomal RNA
Rfam family: Bacterial small subunit ribosomal RNA
Source: RNAcentral